Long non-coding RNA from Drosophila miranda, 743 nucleotides. RefSeq lists it as uncharacterized. Lineage: Eukaryota; Metazoa; Arthropoda; Insecta; Diptera; Drosophilidae. The transcript has 3 exons. The record is from RefSeq and is a predicted model, not a curated record.
GAGGAAAACAAAAGAUGUUUCAUGUUCAAUAAUAUAACUUUUGUUUUCCUUUCCACAGCACAUAUUUUUGUAGAUAUUUGUGUUGUCAAGUAAUUGAGUUUGCCGUUCGAUUGACUGCCAUUCGAGGGAUUGUUGUGCCCUUGUCUUUCAGGCAAGAUGCAUAAAUUGUAGGGCACCCACUUGAGAGGACUCUCGGGCUGUGCCCCGCCCCCCUCUCGGCAGUUGUUUGGACUCAACACAUUUGACAGAUUUUUGACGUGCGCCCCGUGAUUUGUCAUUGACAUCAUUAUGGACGCGGACGCGGAUCUCCCUCGCCCAAAGCGCUGCAGACAAACGGGCUGCAACACUUCAGAGGAGAGGAAUCAGAGUCUGAUCGGAGUCGAAGUCGGGUACUUCAUCUGUGCCGCUUGGAUAAACAGAAUAGAUGGAACGAUGGAACGUUGGAGGGUGGCCGGAGCCGCUGCCAGUUGUUUGUAUAAAUAAUUGCGUUUUUGACAUUCCCUCAGUCCCCCCACCCCCCACCAGCCAUUCCAUAUUUAGGGGGGGCGGCCCCUCCGGGGGACUUAACUUAAUUGCGCACCAGACGCAGUCCCCGAGGCCUCGAGAAGCUUACCCAAAACUCCAUAUUACAAUAAUUUAAUUUAUGCUUGCUAUUUAUUAUUUUCUAAAUUGUUUUGGAACGUGCCGCCGCCGCCACCGCCGCGGCGGCAGCCCUCGGGCUCCAAUAAAUUUCGUCAACUAAU